This 76-nucleotide transfer RNA is filed under the name Sphaerodactylus townsendi. RNAcentral describes it as "tRNA-Ala". It matches the Rfam family "tRNA". Rfam says of the family: Transfer RNA (tRNA) molecules are approximately 80 nucleotides in length. Lineage: Eukaryota; Metazoa; Chordata; Lepidosauria; Squamata; Sphaerodactylidae. The record is from RNAcentral.
GGUGGGGCUGAGGCUCAGUGACAGAGCAUCUUCCUUGCGAGCAGAAGGUCGUAGGUUCAAUCCCUGGCAUUUCCCA